UCCAGACUCCUACGGGAGGCAGCAGUGGGGAAUAUUGCACAAUGGGGGAAACCCUGAUGCAGCGACGCCGCGUGAGUGAAGAAGUAUUUCGGUAUGUAAAGCUCUAUCAGCAGGGAAGAUAAUGACGGUACCUGACUAAGAAGCCCCGGCUAACUACGUGCCAGCAGCCGCGGUAAUACGUAGGGGGCAAGCGUUAUCCGGAUUUACUGGGUGUAAAGGGUGCGCAGGUGGCAGGGCAAGUCAGAUGUGAAAGCCCGGGGCUCAACCCCGGUAUUGCAUUUGAAACUGUCCGGCUAGAGUGCAGGAGAGGUAAGCGGAAUUCCUAGUGUAGCGGUGAAAUGCGUAGAUAUUAGGAGGAACACCAGUGGCGAAGGCGGCUUACUGGACUGUAACUGACACUGAGGCACGAAAGCGUGGGGAGCAAACAGGAUUAGAUACCCCAGUAAC
This 447-nucleotide ribosomal RNA is filed under the name uncultured bacterium. Its description in RNAcentral is "bacterial SSU rRNA". It matches the Rfam family "Bacterial small subunit ribosomal RNA", at positions 330 to 794 of the family's 1533-position model. The record is from RNAcentral.